GUUGAUAUCUUCAGCUCAAUAUACAUAUAGUCCCACUUCAACUUCCAAAUUUUGCCCUUUGGGAAUGGAAAAACAGAGGGACAAAUUGCUAGGUGAUAUGUUAUUGUUUCUUUAUUUACAUAGGGAAAAGUUUUGCAAUUACAGUUCAGAAAAUAAUUAAAAUCUCAGCCAAGGAUCUUUCUUUUCAACACGGGGGAAAGGUGAUUUAUUUUUUCAGUUCCUUUUUAAGUUGCUGGUUUUAGGAUCCAAUAACUGUAAUUACAACAGUAAAAUUUCAUUUUGUAAUUCAAUUCUGGGAUGUCCUUAGCUAGAAAUACACAUGAUGACUAGAAAAAUGUAACACUUAUCAGGUAAAAUUAUCCAGAUAUUUUUUAAAAGGCCAAACAUAAAUCCAUAACAAUCCUGGCAUUGAGCUAAGCUUAAAUGAUAGUUAGGUUAUGGUGCGUAUAUGUCACUCUCUUGUAAGGAAACAAAGGUGUUCUUAUAUUUAUCUGAAUCUGUCUCCUUCAACCACCUUUUCCAUCUUCAUUCAAGCCAAUUAUAAAAAUAAGGCAAUUAUUGAGCCCAAUAUUCACUGAUAGCCAAGCAGGAAGCUUUUUGGGUGUGAACCAGCUUUUGGGGAUGACUCAUUGGAAGCCAAAUGUUUAUAUGGAAAUUUCUCCCUAAAAUGGUACAAAAGCAAAUAUUUAUAAACAUGUUAAAAAAGCAUUGUGGAACUCUUGGGAGGAGGGGCGAAAAUACUGCCACCCAUUCCUAAUUACACCAUUUUGAUAAAAAUUGCUUUGCUACCUACCAUGGAGGCUGGCCCAGGCCUUAAGCCUUUCAGUAACAGGGUUGCUAUAUAGUUGUGAGUCAACUGUCCCGACUCACAAUAUGUCUUAUUUAGAAAUGUGACUCUGUUUGGAUAAUCUCAACCCAAUUUGUAUUUUGAAUGCAUUGAAAAUUCAUGUGCUACUUGUGAAAAUUUUGAGUUUCCUAUAGGUAGCUUUCUCAAUUGCAAUCUAUACAAAUAGAGGUCACAAGAAAGGUGGUUAAAAAUGGAAAUUUGUUUCUUACUGAGCAAUUUUACCCCAAAUGGUGUAGGCAUUUUAUUUAAAUUCUGCACCAUGAUGUUGACUAUUGUUUUAAAUGCUCUUUUUUUACCCCUCAUUCUGACAGAAAUUUUUGGCAUUUACCAGGUUCCUGCUUAGACUGACUAGGCCCUAGAUCCCAUGACUAAGGAGAUGGGGCCUAUGGAAAGUUAGCUCCUGUUACAAGCUGUCUUGGCAGUCAAGGUGAUGGUGGGUGGAAGGCGGGUGUUUUUCUAUCUGGUCCUGAAUUGAAAAGGGACCAGGGGAUCAGGAGGUGAUCCAGACAAGCUUAACCAAGCUGCCUGCCCUUAUGAUCCCUAUUAGGGUUCCUAGGUUUGUUGGCAUAUUUUAAAAAGAACACUGAGCCAGCCAGGUGUUGAUGAUUGAACUCGUUGAGCUAAUAAACACCAGAACUUUUUUAGAAUUUUGUCUUGCAUCCAAGAAAUCAAUGGAAAGUACUUAGAACAGGGACCCAAAAAGAUGCAAAUACUAAGGCUAGUAUCAAGAAGAGAUAAUUUCAUUUUGAUUUCCAUACUUGGGACUGGUGUUAUCUAUUUCUAUAACAAAAACAUCCUGACCAGAUAAGUAUAUGGUAUGGACUAUAUUUAUAGAUAUAGCUCCUGCUUCCUUUAGCCAAGAUCACAAGAAAACAAGUUCUCUAGAUAAAUAAAUUUCCUAGAUUGCUGGAUCUUCCUGUUAACUACCAAAACAUUAAAAAAACAAAACAACAACAACAACAAAAACAGAAAAUGGAAGGGUCUCUGUCAAGUAUGAUUAAAGGGAGAGGGCCAGAUAAGUGAAAUUUAUACUUCUCUGUUUUAAUUCUUUUUUAUAAGGAAUGAAUUUUAAAAUAACUAAUAUGUACUAUUUUUAAAAAUUCACUUGAAAAUAUCUCUAUAUAAAUAAAUGAGUUAUGUACUUCUGAUCUCUCAAACUGAGCCAAAAUGAGUUUUCUUUUGAUGGUUCAUUAUCAUCAUUAUAAAACUCAAUUCUUCUCUCUGCCACAAAACAAUGAUACCCUCAAGUAGUCCUAUAGUGUUCUAAAUGGUUCAUUCCUACACUAAAUGUCCUCAGAGUUUUAAUUUACUCCUCACAAAUUUUCUGUAGUCUGCUUUGAUAUGAGAUUGUCAGCUGUCAUUUCACACUGACAGAAUUCCACCUAUCUUUAACAGCCUCUCAUUCAAAUUUGUUGUUUUAACUUGAUGCUGCCAAUCAGCUGACUGGUUGGUAAGUCACACAAAACUUUGUUAAUAGUCUACAUAAAAUAAAGUUAAAUGGGCAUAGUGUGAAUGCCCAAGGAUCAUUUCUAUGAGCAAUGCAUAUUUUUAAGAAAAGCUUUAGCACAUUUCUUUGGAGGUUUUAAUCUCAUCCUUUCUACUUAUAUCUCAGCUAUGUUUCAGACAGUGGGUGCCACUGGAUAAGAGUUAUGUGUAAGUUAAAUGAGGCUCUGCUGUCAUUUAAUAAAAUGAGUUGCAUCAUUUCUUCCUUCCCUCGUGAAAUUGCUCAGUGGUGGUACAGAUGGAUACCUGUAUAGGAGUACAAAAUUUGCCACCAUAAAAUAUCUCUGGCAUAAGGAUUAUUUCAAGCUGAAAACAAUCAAGGCCCAAAAGACUCAGGAAGAAACUCUGAUCUGCUCCCUAACUGUCUGAAGAAUUUAGGUAGAGGACCUGUUGUAGGAACAGAGCUAUUAUUAGAGGUAUCUGCAAAGAAUAUGGGCUGGGUCCAGCGGAAGGAACUCAAAGAGAUCAGACUUUAUUCUGCAUGGCCCAGCAAACAUUUAUUUGCCAAACAUUUGCUUUUCCAGCUCCAUGUGAGAUGCCUUUCUCCCCUCUGAAGUCACAAACCACUUGUGACUCUCUCUUUUGGGCACUCUCUUUUUUCUAGAAUAAUACUUAGAAAUAAUUACCAGCAUUUGGAUAACCAAGGAUUCAUUUAUAGUAAAUGUUCUCAGGUGUGAUAAAUAUAUAUUUGGUCUUUGUUACUGGUUCCUGACACACAGCUUCUAAAACUCUUAGAAUUUCUUGAAUAGGGUGAUAGGAGAAUCUCUUGUUAUUUAUAAUAAGCCUCUUUCAUUCAUACCUGAAUUGUAUAUGUUAAUGACAUAACUCUUGGUAGGCCUCUAGAUAGCUUCAGGAUGAGGGAUGGUUGUGAGGAAACAACCCUGUGAUUAGAGAGUUAGAAUUUUCAGACCCAUCCCACUGACCUCCAAGAAGAGAGGGACUGGAAUUUAUUUAAAUACCAGUGUUCAAUGAAUUAAUCAUCAUGCCCAUGUAUGAAACUUCCAUAAAAGCCCCUAAAUGUUCAGAUUCAGAGAGGUUUGCUGAUUGGUGAUCACAUCAAGGUGCGAGGAUUAGGUAUGCCUAGAGAGUUCUGUGCCACUCUCCCCACCAUCACGUUAUUCUUUGUCCAAUGCACCUCUUCCAUUUGGCUCUUUCUGAGUUGUAUCUUUUGUAAUAAACAGGUAAUAGUAAGUAAACCAUUUCUGAGUUCUGUGAGCUGUUCUAAUAAAUUACGGAACCUUCAGAGGGGAGGUCACAUGAACCCCAAAUUAUAGCCUAUUGAUCAGAGAAGUACAGGUGGCCUGGGACUUGAGAUUGUUGUCUGUGAAGUGGGGGAAAUCUUAUAGGAAUGAU
RNAcentral lists this long non-coding RNA (3703 nucleotides) under Sus scrofa (pig). RNAcentral's name for it is "lncRNA (multiple genes)". The record is from RNAcentral. Lineage: Eukaryota; Metazoa; Chordata; Mammalia; Artiodactyla; Suidae.